This 253-nucleotide ribosomal RNA is filed under the name uncultured bacterium. RNAcentral's name for it is "partial 16S ribosomal RNA". It matches the Rfam family "Bacterial small subunit ribosomal RNA", at positions 524 to 776 of the family's 1533-position model. The record is from RNAcentral.
UACAGAGGGGGCAAGCGUUGUUCGGAAUUACUGGGCGUAAAGGGCGCGUAGGCGGCCUUCUAAGUCGAACGUGAAAUCCCCGGGCUCAACCCGGGAACUGCGUCCGAUACUGGAAGGCUUGAAUCCGGGAGAGGGAUGCGGAAUUCCAGGUGUAGCGGUGAAAUGUGUAGAGAUCGGGAGGAACACCGGUGGCGAAGGCGGGUCUCUGGGCAUUUCCUGACGCUGAGGCGCGAAAGCGUGGGGAGCAAACGGG